This 468-nucleotide ribosomal RNA is filed under the name uncultured bacterium. Its description in RNAcentral is "partial 16S ribosomal RNA". It matches the Rfam family "Bacterial small subunit ribosomal RNA", at positions 28 to 507 of the family's 1533-position model. The record is from RNAcentral.
GACGAACGCUGGCGGCGUGCUUAACACAUGCAAGUCGAACGGAAAGGCCCUGCUUUUGUUGGGUGCUCGAGUGGCGAACGGGUGAGUAACACGUGAGUAACCUGCCCUUGACUUUCGGAUAACUUCAGGAAACUGGGGCUAAUACCGCAUAUGAGCUCCUGCUGCGCGGGGGGGGUUGGAAAGUUUCGGCGGUUGUGGAUGGAGUCGCGGCUUAUCAGCUUGUUUGUCGGGUUGUGGCUUACCAAGGCUUUGACGGGUAGCCGGCCUGGGAGGGUGACCGGCGACAUUGGGACUGAGAUACGGCCCAGAAUCAUACGGGAGGCAGGAGUGGGGAGUAUUGCACAGUGGGCGGGAGCCUGAUGCAGCAACGCCGCGUGCGGGAUGACGGCCUUCGGGUUGUAAACAGCUUUCGACUGUGACGAAGCGUGAGUGACGGUAAUGGGUAAAGAAGCACCGGCUAACUACGUG